This 468-nucleotide ribosomal RNA is filed under the name uncultured bacterium. Its description in RNAcentral is "partial 16S ribosomal RNA". It matches the Rfam family "Bacterial small subunit ribosomal RNA", at positions 28 to 507 of the family's 1533-position model. The record is from RNAcentral.
GACGAACGCUGGCGGCGUGCUUAACACAUGCAAGUCGAACGGUGAAGCUCCAGCUUGCUGGAGUGGAUCAGUGGCGAACGGGUGAGUAACACGUGAGCAACCUGCCCCUGACUCUGGAAUAAGCGCUGGAAACGGCGUCUAAUACUGGAUACGAGAAGGGUCCGCAUGGGCACUUUCUGGAAAGUUUUUCGGUUGGGGAUGGGCUCGCGGCCUAUCAGCUUGUUGGUGAGGUAAUGGCUCACCAAGGCGACGACGGGUAGCCGGCCUGAGAGGGCGACCGGCCACGCUGGAACUGGGACACGGCCCAGACUCCUACGGGAGGCAGCAGUGGGGAAUAUUGCACAAUGGGCGAAAGCCUGAUGCAGCGACGCCGCGUGAGGGAUGACGGCCUUCGGGUUGUAAACCUCUUUCAGCAGGGAAGAAGCGAAAGUGACGGUACCUGCAGAAGAAGCACCGGCUAACUACGUG